GAUGAACGCUGGCGGCGUGCCUAACACAUGCAAGUCGAGCGAUCUUCUUCGGAAGAGAGCGGCAGACGGGUGAGUAACGCGUGGGUAACCUGCCCUGUACACACGGAUAACAUACCGAAAGGUAUGCUAAUACGAGAUAAUAUGCUUUUAUCGCAUGGUAGAAGUAUCAAAGCUCCGGCGGUACAGGAUGGACCCGCGUCUGAUUAGCUAGUUGGUAAGGUAACGGCUUACCAAGGCGACGAUCAGUAGCCGACCUGAGAGGGUGAUCGGCCACAUUGGAACUGAGGCACGGUCCAAACUCCUACGGGAGGCAGCAGUGGGGAAUAUUGCACAAUGGGCGAAAGCCUGAUGCAGCAACGCCGCGUGAGCGAUGAAGGCCUUCGGGUCGUAAAGCUCUGUCCUCAAGGAAGAUAAUGACGGUACUUGAGGAGGAAGCCCCGGCUAACUACGUGCCAGCAGCCGCAGUAA
RNAcentral lists this ribosomal RNA (468 nucleotides) under uncultured bacterium. Its description in RNAcentral is "partial 16S ribosomal RNA". It matches the Rfam family "Bacterial small subunit ribosomal RNA", at positions 28 to 523 of the family's 1533-position model. The record is from RNAcentral.